RNAcentral lists this ribosomal RNA (460 nucleotides) under uncultured bacterium. RNAcentral describes it as "partial 16S ribosomal RNA". It matches the Rfam family "Bacterial small subunit ribosomal RNA", at positions 338 to 795 of the family's 1533-position model. The record is from RNAcentral.
CCUACGGGAGGCAGCAGUGAGGAAUAUUGGUCAAUGGGCGGGAGCCUGAACCAGCCAAGUCGCGUGAGGGAAGACGGUCCUAUGGAUUGUAAACCUCUUUAGGCGGGGAGCAAUGCCGGGCACGCGUGCCCGGAGGGAGAGUACCCGCAGAAUAAGCAUCGGCUAACUCCGUGCCAGCAGCCGCGGUAAUACGGAGGAUGCGAGCUUUAUCCGGAUUGAUUGGGUUUAAAGGGUGCGUAGGCGGAUUUUUAAGUCAGCGGUAAAAUGUCCGGGCUCAACACGGGCCGGCCGUUGAAACUGGGGAUCUUGAGUGGGCGAGAAGUAUGCGGAAUGCGUGGUGUAGCGGUGAAAUGCAUAGAUAUCACGCAGAACUCCGAUUGCGAAGGCAGCAUACCGGCGCCCGACUGACGCUGAGGCACGAAAGCGUGGGGAUCGAACAGGAUUAGAUACCCCAGUAGUC